CCUACGGGAGGCUGCAGUGGGGAAUAUUGCACAAUGGGGGAAACCCUGAUGCAGCGACGCCGCGUGAGUGAAGAAGUAUUUCGGUACGUAAAGCUCUAUCAGCAGGGAAGAAAAUGACGGUACCUGACUAAGAAGCCCCGGCUAACUACGUGCCAGCAGCCGCGGUAAUACGUAGGGGGCAAGCGUUAUCCGGAUUUACUGGGUGUAAAGGGAGCGUAGGCGGCUGCGCAAGUCUGGAGUGAAAUCCCAUGGCUUAACCAUGGAACUGCUUUGGAAACUGUACAGCUAGAGUGCAGGAGAGGUAAGCGGAAUUCCUAGUGUAGCGGUGAAAUGCGUAGAUAUUAGGAGGAACACCAGUGGCGAAGGCGGCUUACUGGACUGUAACUGACGUUGAGGCGCGAAAGCGUGGGGAGCAAACAGGAUUAGAUACCCGUGUAGUC
This 440-nucleotide ribosomal RNA is filed under the name uncultured bacterium. Its description in RNAcentral is "partial 16S ribosomal RNA". It matches the Rfam family "Bacterial small subunit ribosomal RNA", at positions 338 to 795 of the family's 1533-position model. The record is from RNAcentral.